AAGCCCCCCUCAAGAUGAGAUUUCCCAACUUCGGUUAUAAGAUCCCUCAAAGAUGAUGAGGUUAAUAGGUUCGAGGUGGAAGCAUGGUGACAUGUGGAGCUGACGAAUACUAAUCGAUCGAAGAUUUAAUCAAAA
RNAcentral lists this ribosomal RNA (135 nucleotides) under Staphylococcus aureus. RNAcentral describes it as "partial 23S ribosomal RNA". It matches the Rfam family "Bacterial large subunit ribosomal RNA", at positions 2790 to 2925 of the family's 2925-position model. The record is from RNAcentral. Lineage: Bacteria; Bacillati; Bacillota; Bacilli; Caryophanales; Staphylococcaceae.